RNAcentral lists this unclassified non-coding RNA (243 nucleotides) under Glomeraceae sp. RNAcentral's name for it is "partial contains 5.8S ribosomal RNA and internal transcribed spacer 2". The stretch from base 1 to 65 matches the Rfam family "5.8S ribosomal RNA", at positions 84 to 154 of the family's 154-position model. The record is from RNAcentral. Lineage: Eukaryota; Fungi; Glomeromycota; Glomeromycetes; Glomerales; Glomeraceae.
GUGAAUCAUCAAAUCUUUGAACGCAAAUUGCACUCUCCUCGGAGAGUAUGCCUGUUUGAGGGUCAGCCUAUAAAAAAUCGACAUCGUUGUUGGUUAUGGGUGACGUUAGUCGGAAAUUGGGUCAUCUUAAAUAUUUUGGGUUUAAGCGAUUUAAAAUUUUAUUUUUGGUUCUAUGAAGGUUUGUAAGAUUUAUUUCUUUACACGUUUAUGGUAUUGAUUUUUAUUGGACGUGAGCAUGAUAGA